RNAcentral lists this long non-coding RNA (946 nucleotides) under Homo sapiens (human). RNAcentral describes it as "HSALNT0079798". The record is from RNAcentral. Lineage: Eukaryota; Metazoa; Chordata; Mammalia; Primates; Hominidae.
GUGAUUGAUACAUGGUGAUAUGGUUUGGCUGUGUCUCCACACAAAUCUCGUCUUGAAUUGCAGCUCCCAUAAUUCCCACCUGUUGUGGGAGGGACCCUGUGGGAGAUAAUUGAAUCACGGGGGCAGUUUCCCCCAUACUGUUCUCAUGGUAGUGAGUAAGUCUCACCAGAUCUGAUGGUUUUAUAAGGGGAAACCCCUUUGGCUUGGUUCUUAUUCUUUCUUUUGUCUGCUGCCAUGUCAGAUGUGCCUUUUGCCUUUUGCCAUAAUUGUGAGGCCUCCUCAGCCGUGUGGCACUGUGAGUCCAUUAAGCCUUCUUUCUCUUUAUAAAUUACCCAGUCUUGAGUAUGUCUUUAUCAGCAGUGUAAAAACGGAUGAACAUACACCUCCCACAGACAGGAACCAAAGCCAGCAGAACAAAGCAGCCCCAGAUGUGUUCUACUCUAUUAUCUGAAGUAAAUGAAAAUCAACCCUGAGGUAGAGAACCUCCUUCUACUACCAUCAAAGUCCUUGAUCUGUUUCCCAACAUGAAUUAACCUUUCCAUGUUUUCGUUACAUUUGAACAUCAGGAAUGUGUAGACGGAAGCAGUUCAUCCUGGGAGGUGAGAAUGAGCAUUGAAAGAGCCAUCCGUGAAACCGUAAGGCUGGGAAAGAGAAGUGAAGGGGCACAUGGAAGUGUUCAUCUCUGGGGCAGGGAAAAACAAUCCGGAGAAGAUGAGUCACACCUCAUUUGUAACCCAUGAAUGAAAAUCAAUACUGUUACUUAUCAUAAAUUACACUGAACAUAGUGCUUACACUUGAGUAUCAAUGCAGUAAAACCACUAUGAGCCAAUUGAUUGACUUUUCUAGAUCCCAAUUCUAUCAUUCAUCUUCUGGUAUUCAUCUUCUGGCUUAGCUACUAUUUCCUGGCACAGAUUCUUAAUAAAGAUCCUUUCUCCUUGGUCCCAGA